Nicotiana tabacum (common tobacco) is the source of this 179-nucleotide non-coding RNA. The record is from RefSeq and is a predicted model, not a curated record. Lineage: Eukaryota; Viridiplantae; Streptophyta; Magnoliopsida; Solanales; Solanaceae.
CCACUAUUAAGGAUCGACCGACCCGAGAUUUUUAUAGUGGGCGCCGACUGAGUUAUGGCUCCACAUCACAUGCGCAGGCUUCAUGCGAUGCAACGACAGAUGACUACAUUCAGGAUCUAGAGACGAUGAUGCCUUCUACUGGAGCUGACAACACCACCGAUACAUGUCAUCCUACACCG